UACGAAGGGGGCUAGCGUUGCUCGGAAUCACUGGGCGUAAAGCGCACGUAGGUGGAUCGCUAAGUCAGGGGUGAAAUCCUGGAGCUCAACUCCAGAACUGCCUUUGAUACUGGCAAUCUCGAGUCCGGGAGAGGUGAGUGGAACUCCGAGUGUAGAGGUGAAAUUCGUAGAUAUUCGCAAGAACACCAGUGGCGAAGGCGGCUCACUGGCCCGGUACUGACGCUGAGGUGCGAAAGCGUGGGGAGCAAACAGG
RNAcentral lists this ribosomal RNA (253 nucleotides) under uncultured bacterium. RNAcentral describes it as "partial 16S ribosomal RNA". It matches the Rfam family "Bacterial small subunit ribosomal RNA", at positions 524 to 776 of the family's 1533-position model. The record is from RNAcentral.